CCUACGGGAGGCAGCAGUGGGGAAUAUUGCACAAUGGGGGGAACCCUGAUGCAGCAACGCCGCGUGAAGGAAGAAGGUUUUCGGAUCGUAAACUUCUAUCGACAGGGAAGAAAGAAAUGACGGUACCUGAAUAAGAAGCCCCGGCUAACUACGUGCCAGCAGCCGCGGUAAUACGUAGGGGGCAAGCGUUAUCCGGAAUUACUGGGUGUAAAGGGUGAGUAGGCGGUUAGAUAAGCCAUAUGUGAAAGACCGAGGCUUAACCUCGGGGCUGCAUAAGGAACUGUAUAACUAGAGUGCAGGAGAGGUAAGUGGAAUUCCUAGUGUAGCGGUGAAAUGCGUAGAUAUUAGGAGGAACACCGGUGGCGAAGGCGACUUACUGGACUGUUACUGACGCUGAGUCACGAAAGCGUGGGGAGCGAACAGGAUUAGAUACCCUGGUAGUCCACGCUGUAAACGAUGAGUGCUAGGUGUUGGUUAGAGAUAAUCGGUGCCGUAGCAAACGCAAUAAGCACUCCACCUGGGGAGUACGACCGCAAGGUUGAAACUCAAAGGAAUUGACGGGG
This 563-nucleotide ribosomal RNA is filed under the name uncultured Clostridium sp. RNAcentral describes it as "bacterial SSU rRNA". It matches the Rfam family "Bacterial small subunit ribosomal RNA", at positions 338 to 918 of the family's 1533-position model. Lineage: Bacteria; Bacillati; Bacillota; Clostridia; Eubacteriales; Clostridiaceae. The record is from RNAcentral.